Molecule: long non-coding RNA, 1401 nt
Organism: Ictalurus punctatus (channel catfish)
Lineage: Eukaryota; Metazoa; Chordata; Actinopteri; Siluriformes; Ictaluridae
Source: Ensembl
AUGGAGUACUGCCAUUCAUGUACUACAGUAAAGCCCAAUAGAGCUCUUAUAGAAGGCUUAUGGAAAUCUGAUGGAGGUCUUACAGAAGUCUUAUGGAAGUCUUAUGGAAGUCUUAUGGACUUAUGGAGGUCUUAUGGAAGUCUUAUGGAGGUCUUAUGGAGGUCUUAUGGCAGUCUUAUGGAAGGCAUAUGGAGGUCUUAUGGCAGUCUUAUGGAGGUCUUAUGGAGGUCUUAUGGAGGUCUUAUGGAAGGCAUAUGGCAGUCUUAUGGAAGGCAUAUGGAGGUCUUAUGGAAGUCUUAUGGCGGUUUUAUGGAAGUCUUAUGGAGGUCUUAUGGCAGUCUUACGGAAGGCUUAUGGAAGUCUUAUGGAGGUGUUAUGGCAGUCUAUGGAGGUCUUAUGGCAGUCUUAUGGAGGUCUUAUGGAGGUCUUAUGCCAGUCUUAUGGAAGGCAUAUGGAGGUCUUAUGGAGGUCUUAUGGAGGUCUUAUGGCGGUCUUAUGGCAGUCUUAUGGAAGGCAUAUGGAGGUCUUAUGGCAGUCUUAUGGCAGUCUUAUGGCAGUCUUAUGGAAGGCAUAUGGAGGUCUUAUGGCAGUCUUAUGGCAGUCUUAUGGCAGUCUUAUGGAAGGCUUAUGGAGGUCUUAUGGCAGUCUUAUGGAAGGCAUAUGGAGGUCUUAUGGAAGUCUUAUGGAGGUCUUAUGGCAGUCUUAUGGCAGUCUUAUGGAAGGCAUAUGGAGGUCUUCUGGAGGUCUUAUGGCAGUCUUAUGGCAGUCUUAUGGAGGUCUUUUGGCAGUCUUAUGGAGUAAUGAGUCUGAAUUUAAGAUAUUUCAUUCACAAAUAUCUUGCAGAAUUUUGUGGACAUUUCCCAACAUUAAAUGUACCUAUAAAUGUAUGAAACCCGUCGCUGAUUAUUUUCCCGCUAUAUCAGCACGACACUGUCGUGUUUUAUUCCUUACUUGGAAUACCAAUGUCUUCCUGCCUAUUCAUAAACCUGAAGCACGUGGUGCUAUUUAUGAACUACGAUAACUAUUUUAAGAUUUCUAUUUCAUUGGACAAAUGAAAUGUUUACGCAGUCAGUUUUCUCGAGUCUGGGUUCGGUUCCUGUCAGAACACUCCCAAAAAUUCCGACUCGGGCUUCACUGCCUGAGGUCGAAACGUGAAGGUUUUCUUCCCCCCUCAAUCAGAAGGUGGGAAUUGCGAUUAUUCCCGUAUGACGUGAACGCAGCAUUAGCAUAACUGAAAGCUGUGUGGUCCCGUGAGAACGCGGUGUCGCUUGGGAUGAGACGCGGUUGAAAGGGGCCCUGCUUUUUUUGGUCCGGGGUUAUUAAGGGACUCUGGGAUAGUCGCUUCAAUGAUUCCCCCUGCAGGGAGACUGAAAAGAAUUGAACCAAGCCGUUCGAUCGUAG